This 529-nucleotide long non-coding RNA is filed under the name Linum usitatissimum (flax). RNAcentral describes it as "long non-coding RNA (LUSI_LNC007863)". Lineage: Eukaryota; Viridiplantae; Streptophyta; Magnoliopsida; Malpighiales; Linaceae. The record is from RNAcentral.
AGCUUUUGACGUCAUCAUGUCUCCUGAACAGACCGAAAGACGCAGCAUGCUUCCUGUAAGUAUCUCUGUCCGAAGCUCUUCCUUCUGAUGCACUUCUGAACAAGAGCAGAUCCCUGAAUCUCCACUUCCUCGAAGAACUCUUCAUAGCAGUUACAGCUUGUUGUUGUUGUUGUUGCUGCUGCUGGUGUCUUUCAUCUUCCUCCCAUGGAUACUGUGAAACUCUGUAAGGAGAAAGAGAUCUUGUCUUUCCUCUACGGCUUGAACUCGAGGUGAGAUCCGAAGUUCUCCCUCUUUCAUUGUUCACCUUCUGAGCAUUAAUCUCCAUUGCAGCUUGAAAAGGAUCCGAGACUUUCUUCUUCCUUGGCGACAAGGCUCCAAUUAUGAUCCUCUUCCCUUUCUCAAUAGGCGACCUGGGAGACCUGGGCGAAGAAGACAAAAGCGGUGACUUUAUGUCUUCCACCUGUAACAACCGUGGGGGGAGCUUCAAAGGCCGAAUCUUACCCCCGUCGAAAAGCUCGUCGGCAGGGAG